AGGACUUGACAUGGGGAGGCCGUAUCCAGAGAUGGGUAUUCCCGCAAGGGCCUCCUGCACAGGUGCUGCAUGGCUGUCGUCAGCUCGUGUCGUGAGAUGUUGGGUUAAGUCCCGCAACGAGCGCAACCCUCGCCUUUAGUUGCCAUCAGGUUUGGCUGGGCACUCUAAAGGAACUGCCGGUGACAAGCCGGAGGAAGGUGGGGAUGACGUCAAGUCCUCAUGGCCCUUAUGUCCUGGGCUACACACGUGCUACAAUGGCGGUGACAGCGGGAUGCUAGGUCGCGAGGCCAAGCCGAUCCCAAAAAGCCGUCUCAGUUCAGAUUGCACUCUGCAACUCGGGUGCAUGAAGGUGGAAUCGCUAGUAAUCGCGGAUCAGCACGCCGCGGUGAAUACGUUCCCGGGCC
This 404-nucleotide ribosomal RNA is filed under the name uncultured bacterium. RNAcentral describes it as "bacterial SSU rRNA". It matches the Rfam family "Bacterial small subunit ribosomal RNA", at positions 976 to 1380 of the family's 1533-position model. The record is from RNAcentral.